This 497-nucleotide ribosomal RNA is filed under the name uncultured bacterium. Its description in RNAcentral is "partial 16S ribosomal RNA". It matches the Rfam family "Bacterial small subunit ribosomal RNA", at positions 28 to 507 of the family's 1533-position model. The record is from RNAcentral.
GAUGAACGCUGGCGGCGUGCCUAAUACAUGCAAGUCGAGCGAAAAGACGAGGAGCUUGCUCCUCUGACGUUGGCGGCGGACGGGUGAGUAACACGUGGAUAACAUACCUAUAAGACGGGGGUAACUUCGGGAGACCGGAGCUAAUACCAGAGAAUAUGAUGAACGGGAUGGUGCAAUAGUGAAAGACGGUUUUGGUGUCUGAUUGAGAUGGAUCCGCGCCGCAUUAGCUAGUGGGUAAGGUAACGGCUUACCAAGGCGACGAUGCGUAGCCGAGCUGAGAGGGUGAUCGGCCACACUGGAACUGAGACACGGUCCAGACUCCUACGGGAGGCAGCAGUAGGGAAUCUUCCGCAAUGGGCGCAAGCCUGACGCAGCCACGCCGCGUGAGUGAUGAAGGUCUUCGGAUCGUAAAACUCUUUUAUUAGGGAAGAACAACUGCGUAAUUAUCCAUGCACGUUUUGACGGUACCUAAUCAGAAAGCCACGGCUAACUACGUG